AAAUGAAUUGACGGGGGCCCGCACAAGCAGCGGAGCAUGUGGUUUAAUUCGAAGCAACGCGAAGAACCUUACCAAGACUUGACAUCCUACUAAACUCAUGGAAACAUGAGGUCCUUUCGGGGGAGUAGAGACAGGUGGUGCAUGGUUGUCGUCAGCUCGUGUCGUGAGAUGUUGGGUUAAGUCCCGCAACGAGCGCAACCCUUGUUGCCAGUUACCAGCGAGUAAUGUCGGGGACUCUGGUGAGACUGCCGGGGACAACUCGGAGGAAGGUGGGGACGACGUCAAAUCAUCAUGCCCCUUAUGUCUUGGGCUACACACGUGCUACAAUGGCUGUAACAAAGGGAAGCAAGCCCGUAAGGGUAAGCGGAUCUCAUAAAAGCAGUCCCAGUUCGGAUUGUGGGCUGCAACCCGCCCACAUGAAGUCGGAGUUGCUAGUAAUCGCGGAUCAGCAUGCCGCGGUGAAUACGUUCCCGGGCCUUGUACACACCGCCCGU
Molecule: ribosomal RNA, 494 nt
Filed under: uncultured bacterium
Lineage: Bacteria
Description: bacterial SSU rRNA
Rfam family: Bacterial small subunit ribosomal RNA
Source: RNAcentral